RNAcentral lists this ribosomal RNA (316 nucleotides) under uncultured eukaryote. RNAcentral's name for it is "partial 18S ribosomal RNA". It matches the Rfam family "Eukaryotic small subunit ribosomal RNA", at positions 1470 to 1796 of the family's 1831-position model. The record is from RNAcentral.
CCCUUAGAUGUUCUGGGCUGCACGCGCGCUACACUGAUGCGCUCAACGAGUUUACGAACUUGCCCGGAAGGGUUGGUUAAUCUUUUUAAAACGCAUCGUGAUGGGGAUAGAUUAUUGCAAUUAUUAAUCUUCAACGAGGAAUUCCUAGUAAGCGCGAGUCAUCAGCUCGCACUGAUUACGUCCCUGCCCUUUGUACACACCGCCCGUCGCUCCUACCGAUUGAAUGGUCCGGUGAAGCCUCCGGAUUGGCGCGCACCUCGGUGCCGCCGAGAAGUUGGCUAAACCUUACCAUUUAGAGGAAGGUGAAGUCGUAACA